Papaver somniferum (opium poppy) is the source of this 1670-nucleotide long non-coding RNA. RefSeq lists it as uncharacterized. Lineage: Eukaryota; Viridiplantae; Streptophyta; Magnoliopsida; Ranunculales; Papaveraceae. The record is from RefSeq and is a predicted model, not a curated record. The transcript is spliced from 6 exons.
UCAUCUCUUUUUCAUCUCCUCUCCAUAGAACUGAAGCCCUGAUGAACUUCAUCUCUUUCAAUCUGAAUCCACUAAGAUCAACAGCCAGGGUACUUAAAGCCAUAAGAAGACGAUCCCACAUCGUGUUUCUCUUUCGCCUCCACCUUCUCACUUUCUUCUUCUUAUCUUUCUCCUCCCCCUUGUCACUUUUUUCUGAUUUUCUUUCGAGAAUCAUAAAUCAUCAACAUCAUCAUUUACCCUUUGGAGAACCCACCACCAUCAGCAGCACCAUCAACAACAUCAUCUUCUCACGAUUUCUUUCUUUCUCUCUCUCAACCGAAGACUCUGACUCUUCCAACAGAGGAGGUACUGGGAAAAGUAGUCCAAAACAGAAGUAAUAAGAAAAGUAUAUUGAGAAACAAAAGAAGGGCGAAAAACAAAUGUUCUUUGAGAUGCUUACAGGUUACCUGGUUCUUUGAGAUGAAAAAAAGCAGAUAUACCCCUCUCUCUUUCUUUAUAAGAUUGAUUGCAAUACACUCUGUAUUAGUAAUUGAUAAACACUUGUUUUGUUUUUUCAGUUUUGUUAAAAUUUGCAGUGGGUAAUUAGUAGUAUGGCUUGCAGCAAUAAGGCAGCGUAUCAAGAAAGAUGAAGAUGAAGUUAGUAUGGCUAAACCCUAUCACUGAAUCUCAAACUCAGACUUGUUUAGUUUGCUGUUGAAUACAACAUGUUUGUAAAAAUGCUUAACAAGUAUUUUGUCCUCUGUCUUGCCUCUUAGUUUUUUUCUAGGUAUGCGGUGUGUUUAGACAUCUUAAAAUCAGUAGCAUUUGUAGGUGGUGUGAUUGAACAAUGUAGACCCUAAUGGUAAGAGGGAGGCGGUUCCAAUGCCGAGGUAUAAGAGCCAACGAAGAGAUGGGAGAUUCAACUGUGGAGGUUACUGAUGAAAACCUGGAAACCCAACGACGAUUUCAACGUGAUGUUUGUUUUGUUCAAUUCGAUCUCUCUACUGGCUCUGUGAUUAGGCAUCUAUGUUUUUUGCAAGUUAUAGAAACACAAUAGCAUAAGUGAAUGACGUGGUUCGCUUCCUGUAUUUUCUUUUAAAAUUGUUCGUUAAUUUUAACUAGGAAAGCUAGAGCAAGCAAUUGAGCAUCUUAUAGAGGCAAUUAUGCUGAACCCAACAUCUUCAAUUAUAUAUGCAACUAAAGGAAAAGCCUCCGUUUACAGAUGAAGAAAUUGAAGAAAUCAUACAAUCUAGUUCUUCAUCUUCACUGGAUGUGCAUAAGACCACAGAACACUUCAAAUUGUUCCAGAAUUUCACCGCAGACAGGUUAUAUGACAUUCAUAAAUAAGCAGCACUACUUGGGCUAUUGGUUAACCCCAUACUCUUCUGAUGGUAUUUGGGCAAAAAGCAGUACUCUGGUGAUAUUUUAGAAGCAGUUGAAAUCUUUGAUGAGGAGAUUGGUUAAGCAAGCGGAGUCUGGUGAUACUUCUGGUGAUAUUUAGUCUUUCUUUCCCUAUUUUGAAAUGCCUCUGUCAGUUGACACAAACUAGGUUACGCAUCCAUUUAUAAACAUCAACAUAGAUCGAAUAUUGUAUGUCAGUCACAACAUACAUAAGUUUACUUGUGUACAUUUGUUUCAAUUGAAGAAUCCUUUCUUUAAUAAUAAUACUAUCUAGUGGUGAUUCUCAACUA